RNAcentral lists this ribosomal RNA (467 nucleotides) under uncultured bacterium. Its description in RNAcentral is "partial 16S ribosomal RNA". It matches the Rfam family "Bacterial small subunit ribosomal RNA", at positions 29 to 507 of the family's 1533-position model. The record is from RNAcentral.
ACGAACGCUGGCGGCGUGCUUAACACAUGCACGUCGAACGGAAAGGCCCUGCUUUUGUGGGGUGCUCGAGUGGCGAACGGGUGAGUAACGCGUGAGUAACCUGCCCUUGACUUUGGGAUAACUUCAGGAAACUGGGGCUAAUACCGGAUAGGAGCUCCUGCUGCAUGGUGGGGGUUGGAAAGUUUCGGCGGUUGGGGAUGGACUCGCGGCUUAUCAGCUUGUUGGUGGGGUAGUGGCUUACCAAGGCUUUGACGGGUAGCCGGCCUGAGAGGGUGACCGGCCACAUUGGGACUGAGAUACGGCCCAGACUCCUACGGGAGGCAGCAGUGGGGAAUAUUGCACAAUGGGCGGAAGCCUGAUGCAGCAACGCCGCGUGCGGGAUGACGGCCUUCGGGUUGUAAACCGCUUUCGCCUGUGACGAAGCGUGAGUGACGGUAAUGGGUAAAGAAGCACCGGCUAACUACGUG